GCGGCUGCUCCAGGAGUCUCCUCUCACAAUAUUGUGUCAUCUUUUCUCUUCUCCAUACCCAAACUCUAGGGUUGUUCCCCGGCCCGUCUCCCGCCGUCUCUGAUUUAUUUAGUUCUCGCCAUCGACAGGUUCGCCUUUGAAGUGUGCCG
Molecule: non-coding RNA, 149 nt
Organism: Caenorhabditis elegans
Lineage: Eukaryota; Metazoa; Nematoda; Chromadorea; Rhabditida; Rhabditidae
Source: Ensembl